RNAcentral lists this ribosomal RNA (253 nucleotides) under uncultured bacterium. RNAcentral describes it as "partial 16S ribosomal RNA". It matches the Rfam family "Bacterial small subunit ribosomal RNA", at positions 524 to 776 of the family's 1533-position model. The record is from RNAcentral.
UACGUAGGGGGCAAGCGUUGUCCGGAAUCAUUGGGCGUAAAGAGCGUGUAGGCGGCCCGGUAAGUCCGCCGUGAAAGUCCAGGGCUCAACCCUGGAAUGCCGGUGGAAACUGCCGGGCUGGAGUCCGGAAGAGGCGAGUGGAAUUCCUGGUGAAGCGGUGAAAUGCGCAGAUAUCAGGAGGAACACCAAUGGCGAAGGCAGCUCGCUGGGACGGUACUGACGCUGAGACGCGAAAGCGUGGGGAGCAAACAGG